RNAcentral lists this non-coding RNA (145 nucleotides) under marine eukaryotic metagenome. The record is from RNAcentral.
UGAAUUGUAAAUGAAAAGGGAAGAAAGUGCAAAACUUUCGCUGUUCCCGCAACUGUAAACGUGUAAAGUCAUUUCUCUACAAACCACUGACAAUUGUUGGGAAGGUUGAAAUGAACGUGAGCCAGGAGACCUGCCUUUGUUUUUU